CCUACGGGAGGCAGCAGUGAGGAAUAUUGGUCAAUGGGCGGGAGCCUGAACCAGCCAAGCCGCGUGAGGGAAGAAGGUACAGCGUAUCGUAAACCUCUUUUGUCAGGGAACAAAGGCGGGGACUAGUCCCCGGAUGAGUGUACCUGAAGAAAAAGCAUCGGCUAACUCCGUGCCAGCAGCCGCGGUAAUACGGAGGAUGCGAGCGUUAUCCGGAUUUAUUGGGUUUAAAGGGUGCGCAGGCGGUCUGUUAAGUCAGCGGUCAAAGCCCGGGGCUCAACCCCGGCCCGCCGUUGAAACUGGCAGUCUCGAGUUGGAGAGAAGUAUGCGGAAUGCGCGGUGUAGCGGUGAAAUGCAUAGAUAUCGCGCAGAACUCCGAUUGCGAAGGCAGCAUGCCGGCUCCACACUGACGCUGAGGCACGAAAGCGUGGGUAUCGAACAGGAUUAGAUACCCCUGUAGUC
Molecule: ribosomal RNA, 459 nt
Filed under: uncultured bacterium
Lineage: Bacteria
Description: partial 16S ribosomal RNA
Rfam family: Bacterial small subunit ribosomal RNA
Source: RNAcentral